CCUACGGGUGGCUGCAGUGAGGAAUAUUGGUCAAUGGCCGUAAGCCUGAACCAGCCAAGUCGCGUGAAGGAAGAAAGAUCUAUGGUUUGUAAACUUCUUUUAUAGGGGAAUAAAGGUAUCCACGUGUGGAUAUUUGCAUGUACCCUAUGAAUAAGCAUCGGCUAACUCCGUGCCAGCAGCCGCGGUAAUACGGAAGAUGCGAGCGUUAUCCGGAUUUAUUGGGUUUAAAGGGUGCGUAGGUUGUUUUUUAAGUCAGCGGUGAAAGUUUGUGGGUCAACCAUAAAAGUGCCGUUGAAACUGGAGGACUUGAGUGUGUGUAGGGUAGAUGGAAUGCGUGGUGUAGCGGUGAAAUGCAUAGAUAUCACGCAGAACUCCGAUUGCGAAGGCAGCUUACUAAGCCAUAACUGACACUGAAGCACGAAAGCGUGGGGAUCAAACAGGAUUAGAUACCCUUGUAGUC
This 460-nucleotide ribosomal RNA is filed under the name uncultured bacterium. Its description in RNAcentral is "partial 16S ribosomal RNA". It matches the Rfam family "Bacterial small subunit ribosomal RNA", at positions 338 to 795 of the family's 1533-position model. The record is from RNAcentral.